Molecule: long non-coding RNA, 254 nt
Filed under: Homo sapiens (human)
Lineage: Eukaryota; Metazoa; Chordata; Mammalia; Primates; Hominidae
Description: HSALNT0133816
Source: RNAcentral
AGGGCUUCAAAGUUGCCCGGACUCCACCAUUACCAGUGCCUCUUGUUCAGACUCUGAGAUGCCCCAACAUCCUGCUGACACUUCACUUGUAGAUGUAUGAAGAUUGGUGCUAUCACCUUCAUUCUAUGAGAUCCUUACACAGAAGGCAGUUACGAUGACUUGCUUCCAACAGGCAGGCAGCGUGUACUAAUUUGAAGUAAGGAGUCAGUCCGAAGGACUUACGAUGUUAAGCAAAGAAAAAUAAAAAUUUUUGG